Molecule: ribosomal RNA, 1447 nt
Filed under: human gut metagenome
Description: bacterial LSU rRNA
Rfam family: Bacterial large subunit ribosomal RNA
Source: RNAcentral
UCCAAUCGAACCCGGAGAUAGCUGGUUCUCCUCGAAAUAGCUUUAGGGCUAGCCCAUGACAAGUCUGCCGCAGGUAGAGCACUGAAUUUCCUAGGGGGCGUCAAAGCCUACCGAAGAAUAUCAAACUCCGAAUGGCGGCCAGAUGGUGUCAUGGAGUCAGACUGCACGAGAUAAGUUGGGUGGUCAAAAGGGAAAGAGCCCAGACCCACAGCUAAGGUCCCAAAGUGCGUGUUAAGUGGAAAAGGAUGUGGGAUUUCGAAGACAACUAGGAUGUUGGCUCAGAAGCAGCCACACAUUAAAAGAGUGCGUAAUAGCUCACUAGUCGAGAGGUCCUGCGCCGAAAAUGUCCGGGGCUGAAACACGACACCGAAGCUUGGGAAUCCUACGGGAUUGGUAGAGGAGCAUUGAAGACGGGACGAAGCGUAACCGUAAGGAUACGUGGACUGUCUUGAAGAGAGAAUGCCGGAAUGAGUAGCGAGAAUGAAGUGAGAAUCUUCAUGGCCGAAUAUCUAAGGUUUCCAGGGUAAAGCUGAUCUGCCCUGGGUAAGUCGGGACCUAAGGCGAGGCCGAGAGGCGUAGCCGAUGGACAACAGGUUGAGAUUCCUGUACUACAGUAUGACAGAACUGUGGGGACGCAGAAGGAGAGCACUACCUGGAAUGGAAUCCAGGGGCAAGCACAGGAGGGGUACGGCUGGAAAAACCGCCGUGCAACCCAAAGGUGUGACGCAUACCGAACUAAAGUAGGGAAAUGUGUGAGCCGGCUGCCGAGAAAAGCCGCUAUUGUUUGUACUGUACCCGUACCGUAAACCGACACAGGUGGAUGAGGAGAGAAUCCUAAGGCCGGCGGGAGAAGCAUUGUUAAGGAACUCGGCAAAAUGACCCUGUAACUUCGGGAGAAAGGGUGCCUCGAAAGAGGCCGCAGAGAAUAGGCCCAAGCAACUGUUUAGCAAAAACACAGGUCUAUGCAAAACCGCAAGGUGAAGUAUAUGGGCUGACGCCUGCCCGGUGCUGGAAGGUUAAGGGGAGAUGUCAGGAGACGAAGCAUCGAACUUAAGCCCCAGUAAACGGCGGCCGUAACUAUAACGGUCCUAAGGUAGCGAAAUUCCUUGUCGGGUAAGUUCCGACCCGCACGAAAGGCGUAAUGAUUUGGGCGCUGUCUCGACAAUGCAUCCGGUGAAAUUGAAGUACCAGUGAAGAUGCUGGUUACCUGCGCCAGGACGGAAAGACCCCAUGGAGCUUUACUCCAGCUUGAUACUGGGAUUCGAUAUUGUAUGUACAGGAUAGGUGGGAGGCGAAGAAGCAUUGACGCCAGUUGAUGCGGAGCCGCUGUUGGGAUACCACCCUUGCAGUAUUGGAUUUCUAACCAGCAGCCGUGACCCGGCUGGGGGACAAUGUCAGGUGGGGAGUUUGACUGGGGCGGUCGCCUCCGAAAGGGUAUCGGAGGCGC